CCUACGGGAGGCAGCAGUGAGGAAUAUUGGUCAAUGGGCGAGAGCCUGAACCAGCCAAGUCGCGUGAAGGAUGAAGGAUCUAUGGUUUGUAAACUUCUUUUAUAUGGGAAUAAAGUGCGGAACGUGUUUCUGUUUGUAUGUACCAUAUGAAUAAGCAUCGGCUAACUCCGUGCCAGCAGCCGCGGUAAUACGGAGGAUGCGAGCGUUAUCCGGAUUUAUUGGGGUUAAAGGGUGCGUAGGGGGUUAGAUAAAUUAGCGGUGAAAUUUUGGGGCUCAACCCUGAAAAUGCCGUUGAAACUGGUUGACUAGAGUAUAUGUGAGGUAGGCGGAAUGCGUGGUGUAGCGGUGAAAUGCAUAGAGAUCACGCAGAACUCCGAUUGCGAAGGCAGCUUACCAAACUAUAACUGACGCUGAGGCACGAAAGCGUGGGGAGCAAACAGGAUUAGAUACCCCUGUAGUC
Molecule: ribosomal RNA, 460 nt
Filed under: uncultured bacterium
Lineage: Bacteria
Description: partial 16S ribosomal RNA
Rfam family: Bacterial small subunit ribosomal RNA
Source: RNAcentral